RNAcentral lists this ribosomal RNA (482 nucleotides) under uncultured bacterium. RNAcentral describes it as "partial 16S ribosomal RNA". It matches the Rfam family "Bacterial small subunit ribosomal RNA", at positions 30 to 507 of the family's 1533-position model. The record is from RNAcentral.
AUUGAACGCUGGCGGCAUGCUUUACACAUGCAAGUCGAACGGUAACAGGCCGCAAGGUGCUGACGAGUGGCGCACGGGUGAGUAAUGCAUCGGAACGUGCCCAGCCGUGGGGGAUAACUACUCGAAAGAGUAGCUAAUACCGCAUACGAUCUAUGGAUGAAAGCGGGGGACCGUAAGGCCUCGCGCGAUUGGAGCGGCCGAUGUCAGAUUAGGUAGUUGGUGGGGUAAAGGCUCACCAAGCCAACGAUCUGUAGCUGGUCUGAGAGGACAACCAGCCACACUGGGACUGAGACACGGCCCAGACUCCUACGGGAGGCAGCAGUGGGGAAUUUUGGACAAUGGGCGCAAGCCUGAUCCAGCAAUGCCGCGUGCAGGAAGAAGGCCUUCGGGUUGUAAACUGCUUUUGUACGGAACGAAACGGCUCUGGUUAAUACCCGGGGCUAAUGACGGUACCGGAAGAAUAAGCACCGGCUAACUACGUG